Molecule: non-coding RNA, 30 nt
Filed under: Rattus norvegicus (Norway rat)
Lineage: Eukaryota; Metazoa; Chordata; Mammalia; Rodentia; Muridae
Source: RNAcentral
UGUCAGAUGAGUAACACUGGUCAAUUUGAU